Molecule: non-coding RNA, 29 nt
Filed under: Mus musculus (house mouse)
Lineage: Eukaryota; Metazoa; Chordata; Mammalia; Rodentia; Muridae
Source: RNAcentral
UGGAGUUAGAUGGUUGUGAGCUGCCGUGU